This 1353-nucleotide long non-coding RNA is filed under the name Monodelphis domestica (gray short-tailed opossum). RNAcentral describes it as "lncRNA (ENSMODG00000038745.1)". Lineage: Eukaryota; Metazoa; Chordata; Mammalia; Didelphimorphia; Didelphidae. The record is from RNAcentral.
CUUAUACAUGCUUUCUGUCUGUAACAGAAAGUAAGUUCCCUGAGGGCAGAAACUGUCUAACUUUUGGAUCUGUGUCCCCAUUGUGCAAUUGAGUGCUUGACAGCUCUGAAAUGCUUUUUGAUUAAUUCAUUCGUUAUAUCUCUGACUGGUUAGAUAUGCAUGAUUAGUCAGCUUAUGUUUUUAGAAUCACACUGAGUAGCGGUUUCAGAACCCUUCUAGUCUAACCUAUACCUGAAUAAUAACUGCCUUUAAUAGCUAGCAUUUAUAUUGCAUCUACUAUGUGUGUGUGGUACUGUGCUAAUGUUUUUACAAAUAUCAUCGCAAUUGAUCUUCACAACAGCCCUGGAAGAGAACAGUACCUUUUUCCUUUUGGCGGAGAGGUGGCUGGUGGCAGCAUGCUGAGCAUCUUGGCAUCUUGGUGUGGCUGCAACUAUCAUCCCGGUUUGACUAUGAGCGUCCUUGAUACAAUACUGGGAGAAGCUUAGUAGCAUAGUUCAGGUAAGAACUUCCCUGAGCUCUCUGAGUUUAGAAAAAGAUUCCUUUUCUUUCCUAUACCUUUCCUAAAAAUGCCAUGAUAAGACAUGCACAUUUUAGUUAUUUUGUCAUACUUCUGGAGUGCUAAAAUUGCAUGAUGAACCAAAAUUGUUCACAUAUGAAUGGGGAAACUCCCACUACUUAUAUAAAAUAGCAACAGCUCUUAAACUUCUGGUCUACAAGAUAUCUAGGACUUUAAAACUGUGAUCCUGUGUACUCCAACAAUACUACUACUGGGUUUGUCUCCAUAAAAUAUUUUUAAAAAGGAGGUGGGGAGACCUGUUUGUGCAAAAAUAUUUUUAGAAACUGAGGAUUGUCCAUCAGUUGGGGAAUGGCUCAUUAAGUUUUGGCAUAUGAUGGUGAUGGAAUCCUGGUGGAUGAUUUAAGAAAGAGCUGGAAAGACCUACAUAAAAUGAUGUAAAGUGAAGUGAGUAGAACCAGAACAAUUUACAAUAUAAUCGACAUUUAUGACUUAGCUAUUCCUAGCAAGUUAUACAAUCAUCUCUUCAAAGAUUCAUGAUGAAAAAUGCCAUUCAUCUGAGAAAGAACUGAUGGAGACAAAACGUAGACCAAGAGAAAUAACAUUUUAUAUUCACUUUCCUUUCAUUUGUUCAGAGUUCUCUUUCACAAAAGAACUAACAUAAACACUGUUACACAAGCAAAAUUUGUUGUCUUGAGUUGAGGGAAGGCGAGGGUGAGGAUUUGGCUCAAACUUAAAAUGAAGGCUAAAAGGUCUUUUCACAUAACUUGAUUUAAAAAUGAAAUAUUAGCAAAAAAUUUUAAAAAUCUAGGUAAUAAAGUUUAAGUGGUCACAGUCCA